GUUCUUAUGGUGUAUGAGCACAUUAGAUUUUCAAUCUUUUAGAGCACUAUUAAAGUUAUUAGUGUUAAGAAUA
This 73-nucleotide transfer RNA is filed under the name Heterololigo bleekeri (Bleeker's squid). RNAcentral's name for it is "tRNA-Glu". Lineage: Eukaryota; Metazoa; Mollusca; Cephalopoda; Myopsida; Loliginidae. The record is from RNAcentral.